UAUGUGAUCGUCUCUCGCAUAUCAAUAAGCGGAGGAAAAGAAACUAACAAGGAUUCCCCUAGUAACGGCGAGUGAAGCGGGAAGAGCUCAAAUUUGAAAUCUUAAAGGGUUUCCCUUUACGAAUUGUAGUUUAAAGAAGUGUUUUCCGUUGAGGUUUUGGUAAAAGUUCUUUGGAAUAGGACAUCAUAGAGGGUGAGAAUCCCGUAUUUGACCUUUACUUUCAACUUUGUGAUACACUUUCAAUGAGUCGGAUUGUUUGGGAAUGCAGUCCAAAAUGGGUGGUAAAUUUCAUCUAAAGCUAAAUAUUGGCGAGAGACCGAUAGCGAACAAGUACCGUGAGGGAAAGAUGAAAAGAACUUUGAAAAGAGAGUUAAACAGUACGUGAAAUUGUCAAAAGGGAAGCGUUUGACACCAGUGUUGUUUUUCUGAAAAUCAAUUAAAGAACUGUUUAUGCUAAGUUGUUUAGACUUUAUCAGCUAACUGUUUAGUUUUGAGCUUUUCUUUAAUGCACUUUUCAGUUAACAAGUCAGCAUCAAUUUCUUUUGCUGUAAAAAAGCUUGAGGAAGGUGGCUUGAGAUUCGUCUUAAGUGUUUAUAGCCUCUCGCCUAUGCAGUCGGAGAGAUUGAGGUCUGCAGCGUAGAUCCUUCGGGGCUAAAUGCAUUUGUGCUAAGUUAUAGCAUUUUAUAGACAACUUGUUGACUAUGAUUUGUCUUGUAGCUUACUCGCUUAUGUUAUUUUACCUACGCUUAGGAUGUUGAGUAGCGACAUACGCAC
RNAcentral lists this ribosomal RNA (774 nucleotides) under uncultured Neocallimastigales. RNAcentral's name for it is "partial large subunit ribosomal RNA". It matches the Rfam family "Eukaryotic large subunit ribosomal RNA", at positions 24 to 649 of the family's 3401-position model. The record is from RNAcentral. Lineage: Eukaryota; Fungi; Neocallimastigomycota; Neocallimastigomycetes; Neocallimastigales.